Molecule: non-coding RNA, 170 nt
Organism: Erythranthe guttata (spotted monkey flower)
Lineage: Eukaryota; Viridiplantae; Streptophyta; Magnoliopsida; Lamiales; Phrymaceae
Source: RefSeq, a predicted model, not a curated record
UUCAUCUUCUGAUAGGCUCGAGAUAUGCUGUGCAAAGAAAUGGAAAUAUAUUAAUGGCAUUUAAUAACAAGGAAGCAAGCCUAGCUAUUCCUUUGUUUUCACCUGUCCUUGUGCCAAUGGCCCAAAGUAUUGGACCAUUUUUAUCGCAAAUAGCAUCAUCACCAACUAUU